This 253-nucleotide ribosomal RNA is filed under the name uncultured bacterium. RNAcentral's name for it is "partial 16S ribosomal RNA". It matches the Rfam family "Bacterial small subunit ribosomal RNA", at positions 524 to 776 of the family's 1533-position model. The record is from RNAcentral.
UACGUAGGGAGCUAGCGUUGUCCGGAAUCAUUGGGCGUAAAGGGUGCGUAGGCGGGUCUUUAAGUCAGGGGUGAAAUCCUGGAGCUCAACUCCAGAACUGCCUUUGAUACUGAAGAUCUUGAGUCCGGGAGAGGUGAGUGGAACUGCGAGUGUAGAGGUGAAAUUCGUAGAUAUUCGCAAGAACACCAGUGGCGAAGGCGGCUCACUGGCCCGGUACUGACGCUGAGGCACGAAAGCGUGGGGAGCAAACAGG